UACAGAGGGUGCGAGCGUUAAUCGGAAUUACUGGGCGUAAAGCGCGCGUAGGCGGCUUUGCAAGUCGGGUGUGAAAUCCCCAGGCUUAACCUGGGAACUGCAUUCGAGACUGCAUUGCUAGAGUAUGGGAGAGGGAAGUGGAAUUUCCGGUGUAGCGGUGAAAUGCGUAGAUAUCGGGAGGAACAUCAGUGGCGAAGGCGGCAUCCUGGACCGGCAUUGACGCUGAGGAGCGAAAGCCAGGGGAGCAAACGGG
This 253-nucleotide ribosomal RNA is filed under the name uncultured bacterium. RNAcentral describes it as "partial 16S ribosomal RNA". It matches the Rfam family "Bacterial small subunit ribosomal RNA", at positions 524 to 776 of the family's 1533-position model. The record is from RNAcentral.